Molecule: ribosomal RNA, 514 nt
Filed under: uncultured archaeon
Lineage: Archaea
Description: bacterial SSU rRNA
Rfam family: Archaeal small subunit ribosomal RNA
Source: RNAcentral
AAACUUUCCAAUGCACGCAAGUGUGAGAAGGAAAUCCAGAGUGCUUAGGAUUAAUCCUAGGCUUUUGCCAUGGGUAAAUACCAUGGAGAAUAAGUGGAGGGCAAUACCUGUGCCAGCCGCCGCGGUAACCCAGGAUCCACAAGUGGCAACCGCUUUUAUUUGGCCUAAAGCGUCCGUAGCUGGUUUUGUAAAUCUUCUGUGAAAUUUCGAGGCUUAACCUCGAAGCGCGCAGGAGACACUGCAUCACUUGGGACCGGGAGGCGUGAGGAGUAUUUUUGGGGGAGCGGUAAAAUGUUAUAAUCCCAAAAGGACUACCUGUGGCGAAGGCGCCUCACGAGAACGGAUCCGACAGUGAGGGACGAAAGCUAGGGGAGCAAAACGGAUUAGAUACCCGAGUAGUCCUAGCCGUAAACUCUGCAAGCUAGGUGUCGCGUAAUCUUCGGGAUUGCGCGGUGUCGUAGUGAAGAUGUUAAGCUUGCCGCCUGGGAAGUAUGGUCGCAAGGCUGAAACUUAA